UGAACAGUCUAUAUUACAUCAACAAACAAAUAAUACCUGCCCUGCAAAGAGCGUUUGGUCUUGUUGGAGGCAACUUAAAUCAGUGGUUCUUGGAGAUGCCUCGUCCUGUAAGGGAGGUGUUUUUUAAACAACCCUUAUCAGCUGCAAAUCCUAACCGAACCCGGAUUGAUUAUUACUACCUGUCUAGGCAUUGUAUACUAUGUGGUGAGUUAG
RNAcentral lists this unclassified non-coding RNA (213 nucleotides) under Hevea brasiliensis (rubber tree). The record is from RNAcentral. Lineage: Eukaryota; Viridiplantae; Streptophyta; Magnoliopsida; Malpighiales; Euphorbiaceae.